RNAcentral lists this ribosomal RNA (776 nucleotides) under Escherichia coli. RNAcentral's name for it is "partial 23S ribosomal RNA". It matches the Rfam family "Bacterial large subunit ribosomal RNA", at positions 2139 to 2909 of the family's 2925-position model. Lineage: Bacteria; Pseudomonadati; Pseudomonadota; Gammaproteobacteria; Enterobacterales; Enterobacteriaceae. The record is from RNAcentral.
UAGGAUAGGUGGGAGGCUUUGAAGUGUGGACGCCAGUCUGCAUGGAGCCGACCUUGAAAUACCACCCUUUAAUGUUUGAUGUUCUAACGUUGGCCCCUAAUCGGGGUUGCGGACAGUGUCUGGUGGGUAGUUUGACUGGGGCGGUCUCCUCCUAAAGAGUAACGGAGGAGCACGAAGGUUGGCUAAUCCUGGUCGGACAUCAGGAGGUUAGUGCAAUGGCAUAAGCCAGCUUGACUGCGAGCGUGACGGCGCGAGCAGGUGCGAAAGCAGGUCAUAGUGAUCCGGUGGUUCUGAAUGGAAGGGCCAUCGCUCAACGGAUAAAAGGUACUCCGGGGAUAACAGGCUGAUACCGCCCAAGAGUUCAUAUCGACGGCGGUGUUUGGCACCUCGAUGUCGGCUCAUCACAUCCUGGGGCUGAAGUAGGUCCCAAGGGUAUGGCUGUUCGCCAUUUAAAGUGGUACGCGAGCUGGGUUUAGAACGUCGUGAGACAGUUCGGUCCCUAUCUGCCGUGGGCGCUGGAGAACUGAGGGGGGCUGCUCCUAGUACGAGAGGACCGGAGUGGACGCAUCACUGGUGUUCGGGUUGUCAUGCCAAUGGCACUGCCCGGUAGCUAAAUGCGGAAGAGAUAAGUGCUGAAAGCAUCUAAGCACGAAACUUGCCCCGAGAUGAGUUCUCCCUGACUCCCUGAGAGUCCUGAAGGAACGUUGAAGACGACGACGUUGAUAGGCCGGGUGUGUAAGCGCAGCGAUGCGUUGAGCUAACCGGUACUAAUGAAC